This 72-nucleotide transfer RNA is filed under the name Patescibacteria group bacterium. RNAcentral describes it as "tRNA-Gly". It matches the Rfam family "tRNA". Rfam says of the family: Transfer RNA (tRNA) molecules are approximately 80 nucleotides in length. The record is from RNAcentral.
GCGGGUAUCGUAUAGUGGCUAUUACAUCUGGUUGCCAAUCAGAUGACGGGGGUUCGAUUCCCCCUACCCGCU